GGGCCCGCACAAGCGGUGGAGCAUGUGGUUUAAUUCGACGCAACGCGAAGAACCUUACCUGGAUUUGACAUCCCGGGAAUCCUGUUGAAAGACAGGAGUGCCCUUCGGGGAGCCUGGAGACAGGUGCUGCAUGGCUGUCGUCAGCUCGUGUCGUGAGAUGUUGGGUUAAGUCCCGCAACGAGCGCAACCCUUGUCUUUAGUUACCAUCAUUCAGUUGGGGACUCUAAAGAUACUGCCCCCGGUCAACGGGGAGGAAGGUGGGGAUGACGUCAAGUCCUCAUGGCCUUUAUGUCCAGGGCUACACACGUGCUACAAUGGGCGGUACAAAGGGUCGCAAACCCGCGAGGGUAAGCCGAAUCCCAAAAAGCCGUCCCAAGUUCGGAUUGGAGUCUGCAACUCGACUCCAUGAAGUUGGAAUCGCUAGUAAUCGCGGAUCAGCAUGCCGCGGUGAAUACG
This 456-nucleotide ribosomal RNA is filed under the name uncultured Desulfobacterales bacterium. RNAcentral describes it as "bacterial SSU rRNA". It matches the Rfam family "Bacterial small subunit ribosomal RNA", at positions 917 to 1370 of the family's 1533-position model. Lineage: Bacteria; Pseudomonadati; Thermodesulfobacteriota; Desulfobacteria; Desulfobacterales. The record is from RNAcentral.